GGCCGCGUGGCGCAGGCCGGGGAUCGGCCGCCGCUGGUAGCGGUGGAGGACCCCGUCGAGAGCGGUGAACGCGGCGUCCCAACCGCCACGGGGCCGCC
This 98-nucleotide transfer RNA is filed under the name Planotetraspora silvatica. Its description in RNAcentral is "tRNA-Thr". Lineage: Bacteria; Bacillati; Actinomycetota; Actinomycetes; Streptosporangiales; Streptosporangiaceae. The record is from RNAcentral.